GACGAACGCUGGCGGCGUGCUUAACACAUGCAAGUCGAACGGAAAGGCCCUGCUUGCAGGGUGCUCGAGUGGCGAACGGGUGAGUAACACGUGGGUGAUCCGCCCCUUACUUUGGGAUAAGCCUGGGAAACUGGGUCUAAUACUGGAUAGGACCAUGCUGUAGGUGGUGUGGUGGAAAGAUUAGUUUCGGUAAGGGAUGAGCUCGCGGCCUAUCAGCUUGUUGGUGGGGUAAUGGCCUACCAAGGCGUCGACGGGUAGCCGGCCUGAGAGGGUGGACGGCCACGUUGGGACUGAGAUGCGGCGCAGACGCCUACGGGAGGCAGCAGUGGGGAAUAUUGCGCAAUGGGCGCAAGCCUGAUGCAGCGACGCCGCGUGGGGGAUGACGGCCUUCGGGUUGUAAACUCCUUUCAGCCAUGACGAAGCCCUUGUGGUGACGGUAGUGGUAGAAGAAGCACCGGCUAACUACGUG
RNAcentral lists this ribosomal RNA (469 nucleotides) under uncultured bacterium. Its description in RNAcentral is "partial 16S ribosomal RNA". It matches the Rfam family "Bacterial small subunit ribosomal RNA", at positions 28 to 507 of the family's 1533-position model. The record is from RNAcentral.